AUACGGAGGGUGCAAGCGUUGUUCGGAAUUACUGGGCGUAAAGCGCGUGUAGGCGGCUUGGCAAGUCGGUUGUGAAAGCCCGGGGCCCAACCCCGGAACUGCACCCGAUACUGCCUGGCUGGAGUCCCGGAGAGGAUGGCGGAAUUUCCGGUGUAGAGGUGAAAUUCGUAGAUAUCGGAAGGAACACCAGUGGCGAAGGCGGCCAUCUGGACGGUGACUGACGCUGAGACGCGAAAGCGUGGGGAGCAAACAGGAUUAGAUACCCCAGUAGUCC
Molecule: ribosomal RNA, 274 nt
Filed under: uncultured bacterium
Lineage: Bacteria
Description: partial 16S ribosomal RNA
Rfam family: Bacterial small subunit ribosomal RNA
Source: RNAcentral